This 254-nucleotide ribosomal RNA is filed under the name uncultured bacterium. RNAcentral describes it as "partial 16S ribosomal RNA". It matches the Rfam family "Bacterial small subunit ribosomal RNA", at positions 524 to 776 of the family's 1533-position model. The record is from RNAcentral.
UACGUAGGGCGCAAGCGUUUGUCCGGAAUUAUUGGGCGUAAAGAGCUCGUAGGCGGCUUGUCACGUCGGGUGUGAAAGCCCGGGGCUUAACCCCGGGUCUGCAUUCGAUACGGGCUAGCUAGAGUGUGGUAGGGGAGAUCGGAAUUCCUGGUGUAGCGGUGAAAUGCGCAGAUAUCAGGAGGAACACCGGUGGCGAAGGCGGGUCUCUGGGCCGAUACUGACGCUGAGGAGCGAAAGCGUGGGGAGCGAACAGG